GCUGGUACUAUGAUAGUAGUUGGCCUGACAAUAGCUGCAGCUGGUUAUGCAGGUCGCUAUGCGCUGCAAGUAAUAAAGCAAAUGGAACCACAAGUAAAGCAAACACUGCAAUCUCUGCCAAAAACGGCCUUCAGUGGUUAUUACAGAGGUGGAUUCGAAAGCAAAAUGAACAAGCGGGAAGCUGCCUUAAUAUUAGGAGUGAGUCCUACAGCGAACAAAGCAAAAAUCAGAGAAGCUCACAGAAGAAUCAUGCUUUUGAAUCAUCCUGAUAAAGAAUAAUGGAAUAAUUUCUGUCUUGUGAACAUGACAACCAUAUUUUCCUCUUUACCAGGUUGCCUAAUUUGUUACCCAGAUCAACUGGAGUUGCUUGGUCCAUAAUUGAAUCUAAUUAGAGCAAGAAGCUCUUGGAAUUCUACAUUUGAGUGAGUAGUUUGGGGAAUUUUUAUGUGGGACUUUAGGGAAGGGUAUGAAGUACUUGGAAAUGGCAGAUUUAUCUAGAGAGGAUUAUAUUAUUAUAUUCUACAUUUUAGGCAGAAUUCAAGACACAGCAUCAACAGUCAUAAAUAUAAAUACUGGAAAUUAUAGAUUUCUUCCCAAAGGGAUCUGGAUAAAUUUAGGAAGCAAUGUAAAACAGGCCAUCUGGAGCAAUUUUGACUUUUUCCUGGUACCAUGUUCUGUCACUUGUAGUAUGGAUAUUGUAUUUGCCUACCUGGACAAUAGGAAGAAAUAUAUAGGAAGAAAUACAACUACAGAAAACGUGAACAAACUAUCUCCAGUAAUUUAGGAAGGGUGGAAGAAGACAAUAGUUCUGUGAAAGAGCACAUGAAAAUGGGGAGACAUGGCAACCAUUAGGAGAAUGGAAGAAUAUUACCCAUAAGAUCAAAGGAUAACACACUAAACCAGUGGUCCCCAACCUUUCCAGCUUGGUGGUGGGUGGCUAGGUGAGAACCUCCAUAAUUUUAAGGUAGCAGAAAGGUGGCAAUUCAAAGUAGUUAUCUUAAUGGAUCACUAGCAGAUUGUGCUAAUAGAAAUAUAAUCAUUUUUCCAAUAAAAUGUUACUAGGAAUCUUAAAAACCCAUUGUUGCAAGCAUAGUAUUUCAACCAAGUUACAUUUGAAAUAGAGACCAUUUAUAGUUGAGACAUUAAGAAGGAAGUUGGCAAGAACGUAUUGAAGCAGAAUUAAAUGAUAAGACAGAAGAUAGAAGUCCAAACUCUAGAAGGAAGUGUUGAAAGAAGUUGACAUCCUUACCCUGAAGAAAUCUAGGAGAUAUUAUAGUGAUUUUAAAUAAAAAGAAAUGUUUCACAAAUUUGUUAGCAUAAGUGAACUCUCCCUUUCCAGAAUAAUUGUCACCAGUUUUCUGCAUGGUAUAAACAUUAAAUACUUUGGAUUUUUUUAAAAAACACAUCAGAGGGUCAUGGGCAGGAUACACCAAUUCUUACAAAGGACAAAAAAAAAACAACCAUGAAUAAAAUAAAGACAAUGAGAAGUAGUAGUAGUAGUAGUAGUAGUAGUAGUAGUAGUAGUAGUAGUAGUAGUAGUAGUAGUAAUAUCCCAGAUGGCAGUGAGCAGGCUUUUGAAAUUACAGUGGCAUUGACAAGAAUAUGGCAGGAACUGCAAGGCAGCCACAGGGAAUGCUAAGGAAUAAGUAUGACCCCAAAGCUAAACUUUUCUUAAUCUACAGGGGAGAGGCUUGGUUCUAGGACUUAGUUCUAAUUUUGUCUCCUUGAAAAAAGAUGAUUUCCCUCUCCAAAAGCAAUGCAUUCUGUGUGCUACAUCAGCAAUGAAGUCAGACUUGCUCUUGAGAUAAAAUGAUAUGGGAUAUCUAAUUAGAAUGCCAGGAUUUUUAGGGUCAAAUUUUAAAUUGGGGAGAGAAUCCAUUUGUGAAUUGAAUUUUACCAUUUUCCCCUAAAUUGUCCUAUUACUGGUUUCUAUGCAAUAACCAGUAAAAAGGAAAGACAUUUAGAUCUGCAAGUUAAAUGAGGAACAAUGUUGCCAGCUACAAAAACCUUUCAGAAAAUGACAUUAAUAUACUCUUUCAUUCAAAGGCAAUGCCUCCAUGAGAACUUGUGUCCAACCCUUGUAUAACAAAUUAAUAACUAGCAAAUGUUUAAGGAUCAACCAAUGGAAGAUCAAGGUUUAUUUUUCUACCAGCAUACAAAAACAUAUUGCACAUCAAACAACCAAAAAUAAAAAUACUCUAAGGACUAACAUAUGUAGUUUAUACAGAAUAAACUUUCUGGAAAUUGAUCUUUUCAGUAGUUCUGGUUAUCUUAAUGGACAUGACUAAUUCAGAAUUAAGUGUUUUAACUAAAGCUAUGUUUGAUUUUUAAAUACUGUACAGUUUAAUAAAUAAAUCAAACAAAGCCUCAAUGCAGAACAGUCAUUGCCAAUGUCACCCAAUAUCCCUGCAGAUUGAGAAUUUAAUAAAUGUAUUCCAGUGGUCUGCAGUUUUCCCCCACUACAUACAGCAUUUAAAAAACAUGUAUUAAAACAGACCAGUUUCCAGACUAAACUAAUGGAGAAAUUACAAUUCAGUGCAAAAUAUUUUAGACUGCAUUUUUUUUUCUAGUUUUCCCUCAGGUGAAGAAGUGGUUGCAUAUUAUUAAAAAUGUAAUAAAAGCAGCUAAUGCUUUCAUAAAGUAGGUUAUGUUAGGGAUUUCCCCCCACACAUCUGUCAUAUUUUGAAAACAAAAUAACGUUUCCUAUAGCCAGCAAUUUGUUUUUAUUUAAAUGUUACAUAUACUAUUCUCAAGGCACAUCUGAUGAUAUUUAUAACACAGUAGGUGUCAAAGUAUGUUCAACAUUGGAUUUUUUUUCAGGAUCCCUCCCUGUUGUUUUCCAAAAUGGAGGAACUGAAAGUGCGAUGUCAAGAUUCGCAAUCCAUAUUCUAUCUUUGGCAAGCUUAUACAAGCACUAUUGUAAAAUGUAAU
This is a non-coding RNA of Thamnophis sirtalis, 2931 nucleotides long. The record is from RefSeq and is a predicted model, not a curated record. NCBI's taxonomy places the organism in Eukaryota, Metazoa, Chordata, Lepidosauria, Squamata, Natricidae.